This 1631-nucleotide long non-coding RNA is filed under the name Pocillopora damicornis (cauliflower coral). RNAcentral describes it as "uncharacterized LOC113681241". Lineage: Eukaryota; Metazoa; Cnidaria; Anthozoa; Scleractinia; Pocilloporidae. The record is from RNAcentral.
UGUUGACGCAAACAAUGACUUUGACGCUGUACUUAAGAAGUUCAGCUUGUGUAAAGCCAUCAGAAUUUGUGCAUGGACCUAGCAGUUUAAUCGUAAUUCUUGCCACCCUUUCAAGUAGAUAAUAGGAUCUCUUGCGACCAAAGAAAUUCAGCAACAAGAAAUGUCUUGGAUCAAGUAAGUGCAGAGCCAAGGGGCAAAGAUGGUCAAGUUUGCCAUGACCAGGAACAACUGAAUCUGCAACUAAACACCAGUGGUGUAUUGGAAUACUGAGGAUGCAUUCAGGGUGAGUAUCUGAUUUACUUACCAGAUUCUAAGUCUUUUACAGUAGAAAUAGUGAAGCAAGCUCAUAAGACAACUCUCCAUGGGGGAGUCAGCAUGACUAUGGCUGAAGUGCCAAGGUUGCCAAGGCUUCUACGGUUUGCUAAGAGAGUAGUGAAGCAGUGCUAUGGCUGCAAGAGGUUCCAGGCUCAGCCCCUUCGUAACCCUCCACCAGGUCAUCUGCUGAAGUCACGUACUGAAGGGAAUACACUUUUUGAUGUCAUUGGAGUGGACUUUGCAGGACAUAUGAAGCAUGAUGGGUGAUUGUGGAGCAGCUGGCACUGUGACUUCAUCUAAAGAUGAGAGACAUAAUACCUUGUGCACAGGAUUCUCAUUUGUGGUAUGGACUGAAGAAGUGAGCUCACUUGAAAUCAGAGUCCGACCUGCUCUUUGCUUUUAGUCAAGGUCCAUAUCACUAGAAGCAAACAUAAGCAUCCUGGGAGUGUAAGGUGAAGGCUGAAAGGGGACUUUUUUCUCUCCCUUCCCGCUUCCAUGUAGUGGGCAUCACUUCCAUGCAGUGGGCAUCAUUGAGAUUAAGGGGGGAUGAGGGGGGGUCAACAGCAAGAUUGCAAAUGUCUAUGCUGCAUUCAAGGGUGGCAGGUGCUUGCAAUUUCAUGAUGUAUCUGUUACCCAUGCCAAUUCAUACUUCUUAGUAAUGGAGUUUGAAGUCAGUAUUGUAAGUUGCAGACCAAGUAUUUCCUGGAUUUAUGGUCAAGGGUGCUAAAUUGACCAAUCAUAAUGCUAAAUUGACUAAUCAUAGUGCACAUACUAACUGAGAGAUGACAUUAACUGAAGGAUAAUAAAAAUGUUUAACCUUCGUAUUACUUUUGACUUUUCUUAAGGUCUUAGCUUUGUGUGCUGCAUAUGAAACAACUUGUUAACCCAGAGACUCUUUUCCUGCGUUAAAUGGUACGAAGUCUGAAUUUAAUGAAGACUAACUUGGCUAAUUGUUUUUACUCAUUAGGCAAAAAAAAUUUAAUAAUAGUACCAGCAAAGAUGACUCAAGUCUUCAGUUUGUAAUAAAGAUUCUCUUGUUUGCAAACAUAAUUAUGUAUUUACAGUUACAAUCUUUUAAUAGGCUUUUUUUAAAACAUAGGGAAACUUUAAUACAUGGCACUCUUUAAAAGAUGCAUGUUACAUGCAUGUAUGAUCCAAUAUGUACAGAAACUUUGCAAUAGAUUCAAUAAAAUAAAUAAAAUUAAUAACAAAAUAAAUUACUUGGUUUUCAGAGCAUUGACUAGUUUGUCACCUUUGAAAAUUUUUAAUCUGGGUUCUGUUUAUAUUGGAUAGAGCACAACUGAAAUAUGUUAUUA